UUCUGAAAGGCGGGCGGCGAAAUCAAAGGAUAGGAGGGCGAUGCUUGCAAAGGGCAGGGAAGGAUCGAUGAUCUCGAUGUCACCCCUCUCCAUCGCCCUCUUUCACCUGCCAGGGUCCUGCGCCCUGCAUGGAAGUCGGGGAGGCUCCGCUGAAAGGUGGGGCUCUCCUUGGUCUCUGGGUCCAGCGCAGGACGGACAGAUCUGGGGCUGAACGUCGGAAGGCGGCUGGUAGCUCCUUUUCCACUGACACCUUUCCUUGCAAAAGGAGAUCUUCGUGAGUGCAGCCGCCUCGGUCAGAUGCAGACACUGAAGCAGGAUGGAAAUCGGGGAGGGAAAGGCAGGUUGGAUCCGGGGCUGCGAACGAGGGGAAGCCUCGCCCUCUGCCUCGCCCUGGAGGUCGUCAGGAUGGCUGGAGCAGAGAGCUUCCUUCCCUCCAUGCUCCCUUCCUGGAGACGGGACUUGCUCUCUAGGGGUAAAGCGUUUCUCCCGGCGGUUCGUUUGCCGGGUUGCUAGAGCAGAAGGGAGCGUAGAGGACUGAGGGUUUCGGUUUAACGGAGCUGGCGUCGAUCCCUUCGUUUUUCAUGUCUCUGUUUAAAUACUAAUCCUCUGGAAACCGUAAAAGAUUAUCUUGCAGAAAAUCUUACCUAUCUGAUUAAUCAAUACGUAUUUGAUGGUCCGUAAUCAAUUUAUCAAGAAUUUGUAUAACUAAAGAUCGAGAAUAAGCUAAAAAAAUUCUCAAUUUCAUAUGAUAACUAAAUGGACUUCUCAGAGUAGCUAUUUGCAUAUGUUUUACACAGGAAUUAUACUUUUCUCCUUUACCUGUUGAAUUUAUAAUAUAAAACUAUUUAUUAUUUACCAUCCAAAGCUCUUUGAAAAUCGGAGUGUUGUUUUCAGUUAAGGUCUUCUGCUAAAAGACAAGAACUAAACUCAGAAUAAAGAGUAGCAAAGUUGGUUCUUAAACGCCCCCACCCCCAAAUUUGAGCAUUUGUUAUAGGAGGCUUUUCCCUUUCUGGUCAAAUAUUACUGGUAGUUUGUAAAUGGGGAAGAAGAACCGCUUACUUCCAAUCCUAACUCAACUCUGGGGGUUCCAGUGGGCUUUGGCUGAGGUGUGGCUGAGAAGAGGGAAGCCCCCUGCUAAAUCAUGCAUUUGUACUUUGAUUAUUCCUCUGCCAUGAAUUUUUAUUUUUAUUAUUUCAGAGGUAUUAUAAUUUUGUUGCUAUUUAUAUAUUACUAUUUUUAUUACUUUUAGCUUUGUAAGUCGCCCAGAGUUCCUUUGCUGAGACAGGUGGCAAAUAAACUAUAAUUUAAUCACCCCCCAAUUGGAGAAUGGCUUAGACGGAGUCUUUAUGCAUAAAUACAUUUGCCGACUAAAUCUGUGUUCAUGUGUUUCUGCUCCAGUGACCUCCUAUGUGCUUAAUUUCACCCAAUCCGCGGCUAGCAGGGCCAGCAGCUGCUCCAGCACCACCAGGUCCAGCCCCUUUGCUGCUCUUCUCUGGCCGCAGCCACUGGCGGCACAGGUGGUGCAGGUGGCUGCAAAGCUCCGGGGCCCCUUGGCCUCCUGGCGGCAGCUGUCAAGACUGCGGAAGCACCGGCGGUGGAUCUCUGGGCUCAGGGUGGCCUCCAUCCCUGGGUCUCCGUCGGGUCCCCUGCUUGAAGGCAGCCACAAGAAGCCCGAGAGAGUCCCAAAUGUCCCCCAGCCCCUCUGAAACGCCUUCUCCGGUUUGCAGGAGGGCAGAAAUGGGUCUCCGCUCACUCAGCCUUUACCCGCCUGAGGAGAGCAACGGCAAAUCCUUCCCGCCAAUUUCCUGAGUGCUCCUGACCUCAAGUGACAGAACAAGGAGCCAGAACAAUAGAUGUGUGCUUCCUAGAGCGGACCUGGUAGGAAGAGGAUGAAAAGUGACCUUCCUUUUCCAACCUCCCGGAAUUUCUACGCCGCUGCUCUUCUUCGGAGGAGGGUGGGGCUCGUAGAAAGGAGAGUGGCGGAAGCUGGGACAGCGAUGCUGGUAAAGGACCGAUGAUCUCGGCAUCGCCCCUCUUCAUCGGCCGCUUUCACCUGCCUAGGUCUUGCACCCUGCAUGGAAGUCGGGGAGGCUCCGCUGAAAGGUGGGGCUCUCCUUGGUCUCUGGGUCCAGCUCAGGACGGACGGAUCGGGGGCUGAAUUUUGUUGCUAUAUAUAUAUCAGUAUUUUAUUUCUUUUAAUUUUUAAGCCACCCAGACUGCUCUAGUGAUCAGCGCCCGGUCAGCCUGGGACAAGCUGAGGCAUUGUGGGCCGGUCCUUCACUGUUUCCAGGGUGGCUCCGGGGGCGAAAUGUAACACGAACAAUCUUGAAAGCCAAAUGUGAGUGGACACUGUGUUCAAGUGCACAUAGACUCAGCUUUUGGUAUUAAACACAGCUGCUGAAUGAUGGAGCUGGAACGCUACUGUUCUCAGAAGAAAC
This is a long non-coding RNA of Crotalus tigris (Tiger rattlesnake), 2438 nucleotides long. RefSeq lists it as uncharacterized. The record is from RefSeq and is a predicted model, not a curated record. The transcript is spliced from 3 exons. NCBI's taxonomy places the organism in Eukaryota, Metazoa, Chordata, Lepidosauria, Squamata, Viperidae.